CAGACAUCAAUCACCUUGGGUGGGAGACUGGGUUCUGGCUUCACGUGAAGACAUCUGCUCCCAGGCUCUCUGAGACAACAGUGAAUUCUGCUUAGAGAUGAAAUUGCACAUGAAGGAGAAUGUAGAGCAGAAUCCCUGAAACCUGAUGAUCCCUUUAAAGGAGUUUGGAGAACUUCAAGCACAGCCUCUCCACUAAACACCAUUCAA
Molecule: long non-coding RNA, 207 nt
Filed under: Homo sapiens (human)
Lineage: Eukaryota; Metazoa; Chordata; Mammalia; Primates; Hominidae
Description: PREDICTED lncRNA (TCONS_00226403)
Source: RNAcentral